This is a small nucleolar RNA of Phoenix dactylifera (date palm), 236 nucleotides long. RefSeq annotates it as small nucleolar RNA Z112. Lineage: Eukaryota; Viridiplantae; Streptophyta; Magnoliopsida; Arecales; Arecaceae. The record is from RefSeq and is a predicted model, not a curated record.
AUCUUGAUGAGGAGGAUGGUACCUCAAGAUAGGAAGUGCCAUGUGACACUUUUAUCAGCAGUCGCAUUUUUCCCAGCUUGCCUCUUUCUCGCUUUCUUUUCUCUUCGCCUCCUCUCAGAUCCAAUCAAAUUUAGGGUUUGUUGAAAGAGAGAGAGAGAGAGAGAGAGAGAGUUGGAGGCAUUUUUGGUCUUGUUGGAUCAGCUGUUCGUAUGAUUUUAAAGGGGUUUCUGAGAGAU